ACGGGUGAGUAAUGUCUGGGAAACUGCCUGAUGGAGGGGGAUAACUACUGGAAACGGUAGCUAAUACCGCAUAACGUCGCAAGACCAAAGAGGGGGACCUUCGGGCCUCUUGCCAUCAGAUGUGCCCAGAUGGGAUUAGCUAGUAGGUGGGGUAACGGCUCACCUAGGCGACGAUCCCUAGCUGGUCUGAGAGGAUGACCAGCCACACUGGAACUGAGACACGGUCCAGACUCCUACGGGAGGCAGCAGUGGGGAAUAUUGCACAAUGGGCGCAAGCCUGAUGCAGCCAUGCCGCGUGUAUGAAGAAGGCCUUCGGGUUGUAAAGUACUUUCAGCGGGGAGGAAGGUGUUGAGGUUAAUAACCUCAGCAAUUGACGUUACCCGCAGAAGAAGUACCGGCUAACUCCGUGCCAGCAGCCGCGGUAAUACGGAGGGUGCAAGCGUUAAUCGGAAUUACUGGGCGUAAAGCGCACGCAGGCGGUCUGUCAAGUCGGAUGUGAAAUCCCCGGGCUCAGCCUGGGAACUGCAUUCGAAACUGGCAGGCUAGAGUCUUGUAGAGGGGGGUAGAAUUCCAGGUGUAGC
Molecule: ribosomal RNA, 581 nt
Filed under: uncultured bacterium
Lineage: Bacteria
Description: bacterial SSU rRNA
Rfam family: Bacterial small subunit ribosomal RNA
Source: RNAcentral